AGGUUACUGCUAUCGAGGUUCGACUAAGCCAUGCGAGUCGAAUGUAACAAUACAUGGCGUACUGCUCAGUAACACGUGGACAACCUACCCUUAGGACGGGGAUAAACCCGGGAAACUGGGUAUAAUACCCGAUAGUCCUCGAAUGCUGGAAUGCGUCGCGGACUAAAGCUCCGGCGCCUAAGGAUGGGUCUGCGGCCUAUCAGGUAGUAGUGGGUGUAGCGUACCUACUAGCCUACGACGGGUACGGGUUGUGAGAGCAAGGGCCCGGAGAUGGAUUCUGAGACACGAAUCCAGGCCCUACGGGGUGCAGCAGGCGCGAAAACUUUACAAUGCUGGAAACAGCGAUAAGGGGACCUCGAGUGCCAGGUUACAAAUCUGGCUGUCGUGAUGCCUAAAAAGCAUUGCAUAGCAAGGGCCGGGCAAGACCGGUGCCAGCCGCCGCGGUAACACCGGCGGCUCGAGUGGUAACCGUUAUUAUUGGGUCUAAAGGGUCUGUAGCCGGCCGGAUAAGUCUCUUGGGAAAUCUGGCAGCUUAACUGUCAGGCUUUCAGGAGAUACUGUCUGGCUCGAGGCCGGGAGAGGUGAGAGGUACUUCAGGGGUAGGGGUGAAAUCUUGUAAUCCUUGAAGGACCACCAGUGGCGAAGGCGUCUCACCAGAACGGACCUGACGGCAAGGGACGAAAGCUAGGGGCACGAACCGGAUUAGAUACCCGGGUAGUCCUAGCCGUAAACGUUACUCGCUAGGUGUCGGCCACGGUGCGGCCGUUGUCGGUGCCGUAGGGAAGCCGUGAAGCGAGCCACCUGGGAAGUACGGCCGCAAGGCUGAAACUUAA
Molecule: ribosomal RNA, 833 nt
Filed under: uncultured archaeon
Lineage: Archaea
Description: bacterial SSU rRNA
Rfam family: Archaeal small subunit ribosomal RNA
Source: RNAcentral